GACGAACGCUGGCGGCGUGCUUAACACAUGCAAGUCGUACGGUAAGGCCCUUUCGGGGGUACACGAGUGGCGAACGGGUGAGUAACACGUGAGUAACCUGCCCACAACUUUGGGAUAACGCUAGGAAACUGGUGCUAAUACUGGAUAUGUGCUCCUGCUGCAUGGUGGGGGUUGGAAAGCUCCGGCGGUUGUGGAUGGACUCGCGGCCUAUCAGCUUGUUGGUGGGGUAGUGGCCUACCAAGGCGGCGACGGGUAGCCGGCCUGAGCGGGUGACCGGCCACAUUGGGACUGAGGUACGGCCCAGCCUCCUACGGGGGGCAGCAGUGGGGAAUAUUGCCCAAUGGGCGCCAGCCUGAUGCAGCAACGCCGCGUGCGGGAUGACGGCCUUCGGGUUGUAAACCGCUUUCAGCAGGGACGAAGCUUUUUGUGACGGUACCUGCAGAAGAAGCACCGGCUAACUACGUG
RNAcentral lists this ribosomal RNA (465 nucleotides) under uncultured bacterium. RNAcentral's name for it is "partial 16S ribosomal RNA". It matches the Rfam family "Bacterial small subunit ribosomal RNA", at positions 28 to 507 of the family's 1533-position model. The record is from RNAcentral.